This 443-nucleotide ribosomal RNA is filed under the name uncultured bacterium. RNAcentral describes it as "partial 16S ribosomal RNA". It matches the Rfam family "Bacterial small subunit ribosomal RNA", at positions 338 to 795 of the family's 1533-position model. The record is from RNAcentral.
CCUACGGGAGGCAGCAGUGGGGAAUAUUGCACAAUGGGCGAAAGCCUGAUGCAGCAACGCCGCGUGAAGGAAGAAGGGUUUCGGCUCGUAAACUUCUAUCAGCAGGGACGAAAGAAAUGACGGUACCUGACUUAGAAACCGCGGCUAACUACGUGCCAGCAGCCGCGGUAAUACGUAGGGGACGAGCGUUAUACGGAUUUACUGGGUGUAAAGAGAGCGUAGACGGCUGGUCAAGUCUGAAGUGAAAGCCCGGGGCUCAACCCCGGAACGGCUUUGGAAACUGCGCAGCUAGAGUUCUGGAGAGGGAAGCAGAAUUCCUGGUGUAGCGGUGAAAUGCGUAGAGAUUAGGAGGAAUACUAGUGGCGAAGGCGGCUUACUGGACAGUAACUGACGUUGAGGUUCGAAAGCGUGGGGAGCAAACAGGAUUAGAUACCCUUGUAGUC